Molecule: unclassified non-coding RNA, 237 nt
Filed under: Hevea brasiliensis (rubber tree)
Lineage: Eukaryota; Viridiplantae; Streptophyta; Magnoliopsida; Malpighiales; Euphorbiaceae
Source: RNAcentral
UGACUUUUACCUUCUGGCAAAGUCAUACUUUGAUUGCCGAGAGUAUAGAAGGGCUGCACACGUGCUUCAAGAUCAAACUGGAAAGAAAGCCACGUUCCUGAGAUGUUAUGCUCUUUAUCUGGCUGGAGAAAAGCGGAAAGAAGAGGAGAUGAUAGAACUUGAGGGGCCCUUAGGUAAGAGUGACGCUGUGAACCGCGAGGUAGCAUCUCUGGAGAGAGAGUUAUCAAUACUCCGCAC